This 245-nucleotide ribosomal RNA is filed under the name uncultured Bdellovibrio sp. Its description in RNAcentral is "partial 16S ribosomal RNA". It matches the Rfam family "Bacterial small subunit ribosomal RNA", at positions 524 to 768 of the family's 1533-position model. The record is from RNAcentral. Lineage: Bacteria; Pseudomonadati; Bdellovibrionota; Bdellovibrionia; Bdellovibrionales; Pseudobdellovibrionaceae.
GACGAGGGAUCCUAGCGUUGUUCGGAAUCAUUGGGCGUAAAGCGGAUGUAGGUGGCUUUGUAAGUCAGAUGUGAAAGCCCCGGGCUCAACCCGGGAAGUGCAUUUGAUACUGCGAAGCUUGAGUGCUAGAGAGGUUACUAGAAUACCUGGUGUAGUGGUGAAAUACGUAGAUAUCAGGUGGAAUACCGGAGGCGAAGGCGGGUAACCAGCUAGACACUGACACUCAGAUCCGAAAGUGUGGGGAU